GACGCACUGCCCGGCAGCAAAUUCCAACAUCGGGCGGUCCAGGGCGAGGAGUAGGCACCUGGCGUUGGCGCUGGGCGGAUUUGCAAUUUGAGGGAAACCGCUGGGCGGUAGUGCGAUUUGUGGGAAAUCGUCGGGUGCCACACUUGUUCCGUCGGGCGGUUCUCUACUGGGCUUGGGCCUGUUUUAUGUUGCGCUCCUCACCUAUAAAUAGCCCUAUUGCGAGUUUAGAUGCAUUCUUUUGACAGAAGGGGGCGGC
This 256-nucleotide long non-coding RNA is filed under the name Vigna radiata. RNAcentral describes it as "long non-coding RNA (VRAD_LNC013023)". The record is from RNAcentral. Lineage: Eukaryota; Viridiplantae; Streptophyta; Magnoliopsida; Fabales; Fabaceae.